This 254-nucleotide ribosomal RNA is filed under the name uncultured bacterium. RNAcentral describes it as "partial 16S ribosomal RNA". It matches the Rfam family "Bacterial small subunit ribosomal RNA", at positions 524 to 776 of the family's 1533-position model. The record is from RNAcentral.
UACGGGGGGAGCAAGCGUUGUUCGGAUUUACUGGGCGUAAAGGGCGCGUAGGCGGCCACGACAAGUCACUUGUGAAAUCUCCGGGCUUAACUCGGAAAGGUCAAGUGAUACUGUCGGGCUAGAGUGCAGAAGGGGCAACUGGAAUUCUCGGUGUAGCAGUGAAAUGCGUAGAGAUCGAGAGGAACACCAGUGGCGAAGGCGAGUUCCUGGACAAGUCCUGACACUGAGGCACGAAAGCAGGGGGAGCAAACAGG